Long non-coding RNA from Onychomys torridus (southern grasshopper mouse), 525 nucleotides. RefSeq lists it as uncharacterized. The transcript has 3 exons. The record is from RefSeq and is a predicted model, not a curated record. Lineage: Eukaryota; Metazoa; Chordata; Mammalia; Rodentia; Cricetidae.
UGGUCCCUGUGGGUUACUGGUUGUGCCCCGUGGCAACUUUGCACAUGAAUUUGUUUACUUCUUGCUAAGAGAUGUACAAAUAUUUGAAGACAUCAACCAUGGCUCCCUUGACUCUUCUCUUGAACACAGGAAGCUCUCCAGUUGGGCCCUUGGGUGAUGUGAUGCCCAGUACUCUUCUUGAUCUGCUCCUCUCUGGAUGUUUACUGAAUGAUGUCCCUAUUAGACUCCAGUGCCCCAGAUAACACCUCCACAGAUAUGGAGCAAAGCCAGAGAAGCAGACGUCAGAGGAGUUUGGUGUUGCCCUCUAUGCAUUUCCUACAGUGAUGAUUAUGGUGCUUGUCAACGAUCUCAUAUAGUAAACCUCUACUCAGCGGGUCAAAGAGAAUCGACAAGCUAAAGGCUCAAACAGCUGUCUGUCACUAAAGUAUUUCAUUGAAGCAUAUCUGGAAGUGAAUGACAGGAAGAUGAAGAAUUCCAGAGUAUUCCUGCUUGUUGAGCGAUAUCCACAGCAGAACUGUGAUCGUC